Molecule: non-coding RNA, 246 nt
Organism: Pelobates cultripes (western spadefoot toad)
Lineage: Eukaryota; Metazoa; Chordata; Amphibia; Anura; Pelobatidae
Source: the annotation of a GenBank genome assembly
CGCCAGCUCUUUUAUGAAAAAUCUAAUAAAGCCGACUCCUUGCUUGCCCGUAAACUCAACCGCAGAGCUACGCACCAAAAAAUCACCAAAAUCCACUCGAGAGAAGGGACACCUCAGGAGUCGCCAGACCAAAUAGCAAAAGUAUUCCAAGAAUACUUUUCGGAGCUGUACGACCACAGUCCCCAACACAGACAGAACCCCACUCCACUUGCGAGCAUGAUCAAUGAAUACCUUGACUCUGUCACC